GGUUGAGAGGCAAUGCUGCAUAGUGGUUAGAGUGCCAGACUAGGACCUGGAAGAGACCAGGGUUUGAAUCCCUGCUUAACCA
Non-coding RNA from Podarcis lilfordi (Lilford's wall lizard), 82 nucleotides. The record is from the annotation of a GenBank genome assembly. NCBI's taxonomy places the organism in Eukaryota, Metazoa, Chordata, Lepidosauria, Squamata, Lacertidae.